UCCCCCCGCAGCCGCAUCCGCUCCGUGUCCUCUCUCAUCAAGGUCGGCUGCCAGGAGCCCGUCAUGGUCCUCCGCGUCAACCGCGACAAGGGCUACAUCGAUCUCUCCUAGCGCCGUGUCUCCGAGGAGGACAUACAGGCAUGCGAAGAGCGCUACACCAAGAGCAAGCUCAUCCGCUCCAUCAUGCGCCACGUCCCCGAGACACUCGACAUCGACCUCGAGGAGCUGUACAUCCACAUCGGCUGGCCUGUCUAUCGCAAGUACGGCCACGCUUUCGAGGCGUUCAAGAUAAUCGUGACGGAUCCAGACUGUUCUUGAUUCCCUGACUCGGCAAGUGAAGGAAGUUGGGCCUGAUGGGCAGGAGGUGACUAAGGUAGUGCCUGCAGUGACACCUGAAGUGAAGGAUGCAUUGGUCAAGAAUAUUAGGAGAAGGAUGACACAGCAGCCACUAAAGAUACGUGCCGACAUCGAGAUGAAGUGUUUCCAAUUCGAUGGAGUUCUUCAUAUUAAGGAAGUCAUGAGGAAAGCUGAAGCUGCAGGAAAUGAUGAUUGUCCUGUGAAAAUCAAGCUAGUUGCCCCUCCGCUCUAUGUCCUUACCACACAGACUCUUGAUAAGGAACAAGGUAUAUCAGUGCUCAACAAUGCAAUUAAGGCUUGCACCGAAGAGAUAGAACGGUACAAGGGGAAACUAACGCUCAAGGAGGCACCAAGAGCUGUGAGUGAACGCAGAUGGCACGCUAUUCGCUGAGCACAUGGCAGAACUACAUUCUGCUAACGAGGAGGUUGAUGGUGAUGAAGGUAGCGAAGAGGAGGAAGAUACAGGAAUGGGAGAAAUGGACGUGGAGAACUCUGGUGUUGGCAUGGCGGAUUGAAGACAUCAUUGAGCGGAUUAAGUUGGAUGGUUUUGUAUCCGAGUGUACUAAUAUAGAUAACUGUAUACUAUGUUAAGCUAUGUCUAAUUAUUGGAACAGCAAGCGACAUCAUCUUCUUUUCUUCAUAUGGCUGAUGCUUGGAUAGUUGUGUUUUCAUCAAUUUGGAGCAGGACAUUCUUUUUGGGCUAUUGAAGAAUGAAUCAUAUGGAUCCAUUGGUGCAGUUUGACUGCAAUUGUUCUACAUGGAGAGGCUCCACUUGCCAGUUCCUCUAUGUUCAUAUUAUACAGUGUACGAGUGCAAUAUUGCCUAAAAUCACCAAGAACUAUGAUCCAAAAUCAUCUUUAUUUUUUCUGGUGGUGUAGAACCUGUGUAAAUUUUUUGAAGUACCAUGUUCCUCCCAACAAAAAGAAGAGGAAUUAUACUGUGUA
RNA transcript from Musa acuminata subsp. malaccensis (wild Malaysian banana), 1301 nucleotides. It is a transcript of the gene named eukaryotic translation initiation factor 2 subunit alpha homolog, with no coding region annotated. NCBI's taxonomy places the organism in Eukaryota, Viridiplantae, Streptophyta, Magnoliopsida, Zingiberales, Musaceae. The record is from RefSeq and is a predicted model, not a curated record.